Brassica rapa (field mustard) is the source of this 3242-nucleotide long non-coding RNA. RefSeq lists it as uncharacterized. NCBI's taxonomy places the organism in Eukaryota, Viridiplantae, Streptophyta, Magnoliopsida, Brassicales, Brassicaceae. The record is from RefSeq and is a predicted model, not a curated record.
AGCAAGUAACCUACAUCAUCAAUUAAACCCAAACAUUCCAUAAUGAGACCAAACAACGGUUUGGAGUUUGGACUGAUCAUUGUUUAUCAGCUUUCUGAAGCAACCCUAGGAAUAACAAUUUUAAGAUAAUUAUUAAAGACUUAUCUGAAUUAAUUAAGAACUUUGAAUAUUUUCCUUUCACAUGACAAGGUAGAGACUAGAGAGAGAACUUUCAAGGAGGUAAUUGAGUGUGGUGGAGGUGCAUCAAAGCUUCCAUCCAUCUCAAGAUGUGUCCUAAAGCUGAUGAUGGAAACGACACCCAGAAAAGUUACCCCUUCCCAAAUCAUAUCGAAUCCAGCUUCAUAAGUUUUGUUUGUAAAAUAUUCCAUUGAUUUAUUUUUCUUGGUUGAAUAUUAUAUCAAGAAACUAAUCCAAGCUGAUCAGCGUCGCUUCUUUUAUAUUUGCUUCAGUUAUUGAAAUUAUACCGGGUGAUGAAAAUGUUUAAACCUGUCAAACCUUGCAUAUAGUAAAACACAAGUGUUAUACCUUUUUAUAGUAUAAUGAAUUUGAUAACUACACACAACUACACAAAAACACCUCAGGAAAAGAGCAUGCCAACUUCCUUUUACAAAUAGCAUCACAAAGCAACAAUGACUAGUGAAAAAGCAUAUAAUAUAAACAUAUUUAAUCUUCUUUAUGACAAUAUCAUAAGACAUGAUUAAGGUGGAUUAAACAAAGUUUCAAAUUUACUUUACUGGUCGAGUCAACUCUGUAAUUAACCACCUACUUAAUGAAGAACAGUAGCUUAGUUAGCCAUUAAAGGAACUAUAGUACCAUUAGUUAGUUUAUUCAUUUUAUUUCACCGACACCAGCCAACCAUUAACAUGGCCAAGUUAAGUUUCAAUACCUAAAGAAUUCAUUUUUUUUUUUUAAUUUACUUAUAGCAUUAGUAUGAUUUUUGGGGUAAAAACUAGCAUGUAUGUAAACAAAAUCUUGAAGUGUAAUUAAACAUACUAGGGCUUUUUCCGGGCUACGCCCGGACUAAUUUUCUAUAACAUUUUUAUAAUACUCAGAUCUUAUGGAUCGAAAGACAAUUAUAUGUCUAUCAAAGACAAUUUUUGUUUUUUUUGUCUAACAUAUUUGAACUUUUAUCACUCAUAAUUUGUAUUUUUUUAUUACUGAAAAUUAUGAACCACCUGAUGAAAAUAUAUAAAAUAAUUAAAGCGGAGUUUAAUCUGAAUAUUAUUAUCUUACUUAUUUAAGUUUAUGUAAAAUAAAUUUACUUGUACAUUUGAAAUUUUAUUUUGGCUUUGGAACAAUUAUAUUUAUAACUUUUAAGGGUUAUAGGAAAUUUAUGUUUCAAUUUUAACUUUUAAGGGUAUUAAGAAAUUUAUGUUUCAAUUUUUUUUGUUCCUCCUCAUUAUACAUCUAUGUGUGAUGUAUUUGCAAAUAUAUAACUAAUUAGUUUUGAAUAAUGUUCAUAAUCGUAUUUUCCACAAUACUUUUAUUUUUCAGGACAAAUAUAAUUAAUUAAUUUUGAAUAAUGUUCAUAAGCGUAUUUUUACAAUACUGUUAUUUUUCAGAAUUGAUUGGUGGUAAAAAUAAUUAUUAACAAAGUAUAACAAAUUUGUAUUGUGGUUAAAAUUCUAUGUUAUAGUUAUCUUAGAUGUCACAUGCUAAUACAUGAUAUAUAACUGAAGUUUUUUCUCAGGUAAUCUACGAAAUAGGCUUGCAUGAUCAUUAUAUCAUCAAUCUAUUAUAAAUGCUUCUUGUGCAUUCGGGAAAACUGGAAUGUAAGUAGAGUUGUUCUUAUGUCUAUGUAAAUAAACAAUUAAAAGAAAAGUACCUGAUCUUCAGAAUCAGAUCCCAACAUCGUCCAUAGCUUUCCUAGCAUCUAUGUAUUCCUUGGAAUCAUUAAGCCAUCCAACACAUACAUGAUCUCUAAAAUUUAAACUUAUCAUCACCAUAGAAGAAAUCAGGCUUAACUUUUCAAGUGCAGCACAAAUCAUGCAAAAAAUAAUAGUUUCUUUCAGGGUACGAAACUUGAAAAACGCACAACCUCUCUAAUUAUUAAUACAAACCCCUAGUUUUUUUCAUAAAUGAAGAUCAACCUUAUCUCUCUGAAGAAGUAACACUUUUUGUAAAAGCAAAAAAGAAGAGAUAUGAACAUACCUAAAUUCAGCUCUGAAACCACUGAUCCAAUCAUGCUUGUAGGAUUUGAGUCUCCAAAUGACAUCAUUCCUUAUGCACUGAAAAGGGACAAAGCUCUCAGCCUCCGCCAUUUAGGUAUAGUUUGUUCAAGUUGAAAACUUGAUAGUUGUCCUACAGGUUAAAAAGGAAGAUUAAGACAAAGCAUUAUAAACCAAAAUUAAAAGUCAAAAUCCAACUUAUUCAGAUUUCAUACGUUUAUUAGUACCUGAAGCAGGUGGUUAGUCUGAAAGUCACUAAGUCAGUAGAACCAAACUAAACAAAGUAUGAAUUAACUGUUUUUAAUCACUUUCUCAGAAAAAAUAUAUUCAGCUUACUAAAAAACUCAGAUCCAACUAUGAAUAUCUAUACAGGUACCUAAACAGAAUCUAAAGGAAUGUCUUCAAAGCGUUGAUUGCGUUGGAUUCUUUUAAAGACGUACAGAAAGGAGAUAACUUUACAACAUAUUAGCUGGAAAUCUCAAAAGAAACAUCAGAAGCUGGUCAAGAUGCCCAAAAGAGACACCAUUCUUGAGACUGAAAGAAAAAUAUUUUGAGGGGGUAGCAUAUCGACAUCCAAGCUCACCGCCUCGAGCCUCCGAAAACCUCAGGAGAGGCACUUCGACGGUGGAGCCAGUUUUCAAAACGGUGAGUAAUUGAAAAGCUUUUGCCAUUCCAACUCUGAUUUUUUUUUGGAAAAUAAUUUAAAAGAAUGAACUGAUGAAACUCAUGGAAGGGAACUCAUAUAUUCAUAGCUCACUGAAUGAUGAUGUUAAUUGAAUGAGAAAUCGUGUGAGGAGAGGCAAAUCAGUGUAAAUGCGAGCGUUAAUGAAGGUGCAUGAAUCCAGUCAACUCUGUAACGGUGCCGGAUUCUGAUACAGAUUAGAAGAACUCAAUCGAUUAGUCAAGGUCGGAAGCUUCUACCUGUGUUUGAUAUGACUUUGUCCUUGCCGGUGAUCGAAGCUUCCGGCGUAUCUGGUCAUGGCGGUUGUUACCCAAUGAAAAUCAUAAAAGCCCAAAUAAUAUCAACGGAAGAAACAAUUUUUUUUAAAGUAAUGAAGCUUAUUAAAUGUGAAA